This 403-nucleotide ribosomal RNA is filed under the name Verrucomicrobiota bacterium. RNAcentral's name for it is "Verrucomicrobia bacterium partial 16S ribosomal RNA". It matches the Rfam family "Bacterial small subunit ribosomal RNA", at positions 355 to 776 of the family's 1533-position model. RNAcentral also lists the same sequence under 1 other name. The record is from RNAcentral. Lineage: Bacteria; Pseudomonadati; Verrucomicrobiota.
UGGGGAAUCUUGCACAAUGGGGGAAACCCUGAUGCAGCGACGCCGCGUGAGCGAUGAAGGUUUUCGAAUCGUAAAGCUCUGUCCUAUGGGAAGAUAAUGACGGUACCAUGGGAGGAAGCCCCGGCUAACUACGUGCCAGCAGCCGCGGUAAUACGUAGGGGGCGAGCGUUGUCCGGAAUUACUGGGCGUAAAGGGUUCGCAGGCGGCAUGGCAAGUCCGAUGUAAAAGGCGAAGGCUCAACCUUCGUAAGCAUCGGAAACUGUCAAGCUUGAGUGAAGGAGAGGCAAGUGGAAUUCCUAGUGUAGCGGUGGAAUGCGUAGAUAUUAGGAGGAAUACCGGUGGCGAAGGCGACUUGCUGGACUUCAACUGACGCUGAGGAACGAAAGCGUGGGUAGCAAACAGG